CAUUCCCUUCGCUCUAUUCCUUUUAAGUUUAUUUAUUUGAGAGAGACAGAGACGGUGCGAGUGGGGAAGAGGCAGAGAGAGAGGGGGAGAGAGAAUCCCAAGCAGGCUCCACGCUGCCAGUGCAGGGCCUGACGCGGGGCUUGAACUCAUGAAGCCGUGAGAUCGCGACCCGAGCUGAAACCGAGAGUCGGGGGCUCACCCGACUGAGCCACCCGGGCGCCCGUCAUUCCCUUCUAGGGGGGAUUUAUCCAUCUAUUUUCUCCUCUCAAAUUAAAAAAACAAACACUUAAUCUCUUAAUGGAGGCUUACGGAAUUCAAACGGGGCAGCUCUUUCCCGGAAAUAGCGGAUGAUAAGGAAGAGAACAAGGACGAUACGGACAAAGCACGACAGAUUCAUGACUGAUGCCGCCCCUGGGGGAGGAGUCUAUUCAAACCGAGCGACCCAGGGGGCAGAGGCACGGCUCCCGUGGACGUGGACGGUUGCUCUGGGCGGCUUAGCAACAGACGGGAGCGCCUGCCUCAGCAGCGGGCGGCGACACCGUGUGGGGCUGGGGCUUUCCACCUGCAGUCACGCUCUGCGGGGCCAAGCUGGUCCUGCCCCUUCAGCCCUGCACCAGCGCCGUGAGCACCCCAGCACCCCCCUCUCCCCCAGGCCGGGCCUAACGGCAGCACCGUGGGGAGAGACACAACAGGUUAAAUGCAUCUCACCCAGUCCUAACACCUAUAUGGCUUACCUAUAGAAAGGUAGAACCCUUGCAGAGGCUAAGUGAGGGGAUGUCAUGUGCGUGAAGAAGACGGUCCACGGCCAGAGCAACGUAAGCUGUCUAAUUCGGACGGAGCUUUUGGCCCCAUCAUCGCAGGGGUGAGUAAUUAUCUGCUCACGAGAGGCAGCAGCUUCACCGCUCCCUGAGUCUCUUCUGUGAAAUGGAGAUAAAAAUGCACGGACAGAAGGCCACCCCCUUGCCUGGACUCCAAGAAGCUCCUGCUUCUUCCCCCCGUCCACUCCACACUCUCCUCGCGGCCUGUGCCUGCCCUCUGAGACGCCCUCCUGCGUCCUCAGAUGCUCACGGCAUUGCCUGGGAUGACCCUGACUCCCUGUGUCACAGCCGAUCAGCACUCUGGCCACCGGGUAGUCACGCAGCCCCAGAGAUGCUAUUUCCCCAGCGCGGGCAAGCUUCCGGUUGGUCCCUUAUUUACCCCCGGCACCUCCUCAGAGGUAUAAACGAAGCAAAGGUCCUGACAAGGAGCCUCUUAACCUAGUUUUCCCUUAACAGGAGUUGAGAUUGAGCCUGGAAUUCAAGAAAGCAAAGAUGUUGAGGAGUUGACAUCCGUACACAGCUACGUGCUAACAUCUAACCGCACAGUUGCCCUCUUUGUUCUUUGUGGACUGUCAGUAGAAAUUGCGGAAGAAAACAUCCAGGACGCUCUCAAUUUUGAGCAGCUGGGUACAGUCAUACAGGUCGUCCACUGCACAAGGCGCCUAGCCAAGGCAGCGAGUGGGUAGCCCACGCUGCACUCACAAGACUUACACAUGGCUCAGGGGGGGCAAAGCAUCUUCUCCUACUUUGCACAAAGAUGCUAUAUGGGCUUACCUCACCAGCAGAGCGUCACCUUUGUGUGGUUUCUACCUCUUUGUGUUCAUCGAGGCUUCCAAAUGCGAAGCAAAGCGUUGAAAGCGUGUCCCCGGGGGGGUGUGGGGCCCGCCCUGGAGCUUAAGCAUUCCUGCCCUCGUGCACCAGG
RNAcentral lists this long non-coding RNA (1740 nucleotides) under Felis catus (domestic cat). RNAcentral's name for it is "lncRNA (ENSFCAG00000053821.1)". Lineage: Eukaryota; Metazoa; Chordata; Mammalia; Carnivora; Felidae. The record is from RNAcentral.